This 253-nucleotide ribosomal RNA is filed under the name uncultured bacterium. Its description in RNAcentral is "partial 16S ribosomal RNA". It matches the Rfam family "Bacterial small subunit ribosomal RNA", at positions 524 to 776 of the family's 1533-position model. The record is from RNAcentral.
UACGGAGGGUGCAAGCGUUAUCCGGAUUCACUGGGUUUAAAGGAUGCGUAGGUGGGUUGAUAAGUCAGUGGUGAAAUCCCCGAGCUUAACUUGGGAACUGCCAUUGAUACUAUUGAUCUUGAAUACCGUGGAGGUCAGCGGAAUAUGUCAUGUAGCGGUGAAAUGCUUAGAUAUGACAUAGAACACCAAUUGCGAAGGCAGCUGGCUACGCGAAUAUUGACACUGAUGCACGAAAGCGUGGGGAUCAAACAGG